AGCUCCGAGGUGUUUUACAUAUCAGAUUGCAAAUCCGAAGAAGCAGGCUAGCGUCUGCCGGGGCUU
This 66-nucleotide transfer RNA is filed under the name Micropogonias furnieri (whitemouth croaker). RNAcentral's name for it is "tRNA-Cys". The record is from RNAcentral. Lineage: Eukaryota; Metazoa; Chordata; Actinopteri; Sciaenidae.